This 467-nucleotide long non-coding RNA is filed under the name Felis catus (domestic cat). RNAcentral describes it as "lncRNA (ENSFCAG00000050763.1)". The record is from RNAcentral. Lineage: Eukaryota; Metazoa; Chordata; Mammalia; Carnivora; Felidae.
UCCCUGCCGUAAAGCUGCGCCCUCGAGGCCGUGGGUAGGCCGCCCCUCCCAACGUCGGCGUCUCCUCCUAUUCCCCGGAGCGUGCGCAGGCUGGAGGUAAAUGAAGAAUUCAGAGCUUGAACCCAAGUUCGAAACAAGAUGCCAAAAAAGGAAGAAAAGAUCAAAGAGCUUGGAACAGAAUUCCGGCAAAAUCAAAAACAGGUCCUCUUCCGUGGCAUCUACGGGCAGAUAGAGGGUCGUGCCAACCAUCAUCUCUACCUGUGCUGCCUCUACCUAAAGGAGUUGCUCCUCUUCCUCCAAUUCCUUUACCUGGAAUAAAUGGUAAACCGUUAUCACCACCCCCGUCAUCUUCGUUCAAGGACCUCCUCCUCCAUCAUUACCUUUGUUGGGGUACCUUUUGUUCCAGGAUCAUCACUUGCUCUAACUUAAAGAAUUAAGCAGAAAUAAAUAUAUGAAACUGAACUUCA